This 609-nucleotide long non-coding RNA is filed under the name Homo sapiens (human). Lineage: Eukaryota; Metazoa; Chordata; Mammalia; Primates; Hominidae. The record is from RNAcentral.
AAAAUGGGCUAAGGACUUGAAUAGACAUUUCUCCAAAGAAGACAUACAAAUGGCCAACCAGUAUAUGAAAAGAUGCUCAAUAUCACCAAGAUCAAGAAAAUGCAAAUCAAAUCCACGACGAGACAUCACCUCGAAACUGUUCAGAUGGCUAUCAUCAAAAAGAUACAAGAUGACAAGUGCUGGCAGGGAAAAAAGGAAACCCUGGCCACUGUUAGAGGGAAUGGCAAUUAGCACAGCCAUUAUGGAAAACACUAUGGACUUUCCUCAAAAAAUUAAAAUAGAGGAGUAUUGUAUGAAAGGAGAGAAGGUUAACAUUCCCCUUGACAAGAGGAACAGAAAAUCAAAUACCGUGUGUCCUCAGUUAUAAGUGGGAGCUAAAUGAUGAGAACAAACACAUGGACACAUAGAGGGAAAUGACACAUACUGGGGCCUAUUGGAAGUUGGAGGGUGGGAGGAGGGAGAGGAUCAGGAAAAAUAACUGAUGGGUACUAGGCUUAAUACCUGGGUGAAGAAAUGAUCUGUACAACAAACCUCCAUGACACAUGUUUACCUAUGUGACAAACCUGCACAUGUACUCCUGAAGUUAAAAUAAAAGUUUUUAGGCCAGGC